CUAAGGAAUAUUUCCGGCAAUGGACGAAAGUCUGACGGAGCGACGCCGCGUGGAUGAUGAAGGCCGGAAGGUUGUAAAAUCCUUUUAUGACUGAGGAAUAAGUGAAGUGAGGGAAACGCUUCAUGGUGACUGUAGGUCAUGAAUAAGCAUCGGCUAACUCCGUGCCAGCAGCCGCGGUAAUACGGAGGGUGCGAGCGUUAUCCGGAUUUAUUGGGUUUAAAGGGUGCGCAGGCGGCGCGCCAAGUCAGCGGUCAAAGUUCCGGGCUCAACCCGGUGUCGCCGUUGAAACUGGUGUGCUCGAGUGCGUGCGAGGAAGGCGGAAUGCGUUGUGUAGCGGUGAAAUGCAUAGAUAUGACGCAGAACUCCGAUUGCGAAGGCAGCUUUCCAGCGCG
Molecule: ribosomal RNA, 392 nt
Filed under: uncultured Porphyromonadaceae bacterium
Lineage: Bacteria; Pseudomonadati; Bacteroidota; Bacteroidia; Bacteroidales; Porphyromonadaceae
Description: bacterial SSU rRNA
Rfam family: Bacterial small subunit ribosomal RNA
Source: RNAcentral